GGUGACCUUCAACUGCCCUCGCCAUGUUUCCAGUGUAUGAAGGUAUAAAUACACCACUUUCAACUGAAACAAUGUAGUCAAGCGCAGCCAUUUGAGAUGCAUGAUUGGUAAAAGGUUCAAGCUCCUCAACGGAUGCCAAUGUUUCCUGAAAGUGCAGACCAAUAUCGGACAAACCAGCAUUACAAAAUAAUCCACAUGUUUAGAUUUUAAACACCCCCACCCAUCUCCAGAAACGACACACAUGCAAAAUGAUUUACAAAAUAACAGUGGAAUUUUUUAUUAACCCCCACCCAUCUUCAUUCAAAUGAAUUAGAGAGAUACAUAGAUGGUUGAUUUGGACUUCCAUGAGUUAUACCAAUCUAUGCUGACACUGUACUCAUUCUCCCACCCUCCCUCACCACUUGGGCUAGCACAAAGGGCUUCACCUGAUCUUUUUUAUUGAAUGACAUUUCCCUUCCUCCACUAAAAAUAAUAAAAUCCAAAUGAAUUAAAAAUACAGCAGCAGAAGAAAGACACCAUUCACUUUCUUCAUCUGGAGCCCAAUAGCACAGAUCCAUCACAGUCAACAAAAGUUAGUUAAGGAGAUUAAUUGAUCCCAUCGGUUUACAGUACUCAUAAUGUAAUGUCCGGACAUUCCUUGUUACAGCAGUCCUACUUUUCCAUCGAUAAUCUUCGUAAAUUUGAAUGUCAUGUUCACUUCAAGUCCAACCACAGGCAUUCCAAAAGUUUUAUCAUAUUCCAUUUGGAGCACAGUUAUUUAGAAAAAUGUAAAUGAUCAAGCAUAAGAAUCAAUUAUACCUUGCUCUUCAGUAUUGGAUAAUGAGAUCGUAGAUCAGCCAUAUGAGAAUCACCCCCAUAUAUCUUUCCAGCAGCAAUGUAUAUAGGUGUGCUUGAUGGGUACCCAAGAGCGCUGAGAAAAAUUCCAACCUCCUUUGGAGUUAAGGGGCAAAACCCUCUGGAUCUUUGUUCUGUGGGAUUAAUUUCUUUAUCUCUCCAGUAUCGGGUGUUCUCUCUGCAUGUUCCAAAUAAAACGUCAGGCAUCACAAAAGCCAGAGGACUAUCCAUAAAAUGAAAGAAGUUCUUGCCACAUAAGCAUUUCAUACCGAAUGAUCCUUAGUUCAUCAGCUUCAGCUGAAGAUAAAUCCUGUGUGCAUCCACUAAAGGCAAGCAUGUCCUUCUCGAAUCGUAAAUGCAGAGCAAUAUAAGAACCAAAGGACCUCAUCCGAUUGACUAACAACUACAACAUUAAUCAAACAGAUUUUUUUUAUAAAGGUUAUGGAAUAAGAAAAAAAGGGUUACAUGGGCAGUGCAGAAACCAAACAAACAUUUAGAUCUGAGUUUUACUUUUCCCAUUGCUUCAAUUUGAGGUGCAAAACGUAGAGCUUCAUAGCAAGCACGACAGCGAAGCCUCUGUAUAUCUAGAGGUAGGUUGUUAUUUGCCAAGCGAGAAUCAGAUUUGGAAGCUCGAAUAACCUUAAGAAAAGAAUAAUGUGUUUAACAAGAUGAUUUACUAAUUAAAAAAGAAUUUAGAAAAGAUCACAUAAACCAGAGUGUCCAGAAACCGUACCUCAUAUUCUUCCCAGAGCCUAGCUAUCUCAUCUUGGUAAUAGUUCAUACCAGACCAGCUUCUAAAAAGUUUAACCGCUCUGGGGCCAGUAGCCAGUUCCUUAGGAAGCUUUUUUAUAAUUUUUAUAUCAUUAGCCAGAGCAUUGAUAAAAUGAUCUUCGUCGAAAACAUUUGAGAAGUUGCUGCAUAAACAAAUGAACCAUAUCCUUGCAACAAUGACGUAACAGCUAAGAAAUGAAAGAAAGAACUACUCAAAAAGUAAAACAAAACCACAGUGCUACCUAGAGUCUUUCCAAAAUGACCGUUGAUCAAGUUCUGGGAUUACAAGAGUGGCAUUUAAUAUGCGGGCUACAGCUACCAUGUCACAUAUCUGCAAUUCAAGGACAACAUAUUUUAGCUCCAUGCAACAGUAAGAUGAUUAUAUUUAUCAAAUAAUGGACAAUUAAUGAUAAAAUUUUCAUAUACAUAGUCAAACCAAACAUUAUAUUGCUUGUGUAUCCACAAUUAUGAAACACAACAAUCAGCUAUGCAGAUAGAUAAAUUAGAGUAAUGUUGUUGGCACAACCAGCACAGAGAAUUAGAGCACCCACGGUGUCAGGGGUUCGAACAGAAAAUAUACAAUGUUGUGAUGAAUCUACAUAUAUUUUUAUAUCAAGAGUGUGUUUACAGACCCCAGCACGCAUCUGGUUGAGCCCACCAUUUGUAUGCACCAGAAGGUAACCCCGUGACUCUGUAGGAGCUGAAUAAACAACAGUAAAAUGUAAAUUAGGAACACCAAAGAUAUGCCAUAGCUACACAAUAAAACUCUAUCAGUAACUUACAUGUAUAAUUGGGACUUGGUUCUACACAUGGCACAAAAUUGAGACCUGGUGGAGGCUUCCAUAGCUUUUUAGUUUCCAAAAUCCCACUUGAAUCGUCCAACUGUCGAGUAUAAGGGAGUGAAAACAUGAAAGAUACAUAACUUUUUCACAUUAACAAACGUAUCUAAAUCUAUAAGGCUCAGACCUAUGUCCUAACUCCUAACUAAAAGGAUAUAGCGCUUCUUUUAUCUUUUUUUUUUCUUUCCUCCAAAUAAAAACACCUCGACCAAAUGUAUCUGUAUUUCCUUUUCAAAAAAAAAAAAAACUGUAUUUGAUAUAUUCAAAUUUCUUCUUUACCUUUGUUAUUUGUCACACUUAUCAGCAAUCAUAUAAGUAUCAGUCGAAUCAAUGAUAUUGAUGUGCACACCUAAUCUCAAAAGCUAUUCGCAAGUUGAGUCAAAGAUCCAGAAAUACAUACAUACUGAAAAAUCCACAGCCUUUAUAUAACUAACAAGCCCAACAGUAAUAUAUAGAAGAACAAAGAAUGGUGAUGAUCAAAAUCUAAAUCCCGCUGAUUGUGGAAAAGGUAAAAACCAACUUUCAAAAAUAUUAAAUUUUCACGAAUGAUUUUGAAAGAUUUUGUUUUUGCCUUCUGUGCACAUGAGAAAAAGAAAGAGAAAACAGAGAGGUGUUGGGUUGGGGGAUCACCGUGGGGAGCUUGACGGGGUCAGAGAAGUUGGGGACCUUCGAGAAAGAGAAAAGAGCCAAUAGCGCUAUUGAGCAUAUGGCGCACGUUAGCACCUUCCUCACUGCCGCCAAAGUUCUCCAGCUCUUCUUCUGCAUCUGGGGAUCUAAAGCUCAGUCAUUCAUUCAGAGCCAUCACCCACAAAUCCAAAUGAAGAGAAUGCGAGUAAAGAUUGCGUCUUUCGGUUGUGGGCUUUUGUGGGUUUGUCCGCUGAGCUGAAGCGGUUCAGCUGAACACGCCCGUUUUAUGUUUGGGUUUUUAAUGUUUUGCUCUGUGCUUUCUGGGUUUUUGCCGCGUUGCUUGUUAGUUUGGUCUGUUUAUUAGCAAUGGCCACAGGCGGAGAGAUAGUAUUGGCAUAAAUAAAUAAAAUUCGAUUCAAGAAUGCUAGAGUAUGUCGCUCAAUGGUGUUUCAGGCAUAUCGUACCUCACAUGUAUCAACCAUUAAAAAUCAAUUACACGUGUCUAAUCUUGAGAUUAUAUUUAACUACAAAUCAUACUUUGAAUGCAUCAACGAUAAGAAAUUACUGAAUUACGGAUCUUAGAAAUGAGAAUGAAAAGAAAAGACAGAAAGAAAUGUAGACAUGUUUUGCGAUGGGCUGCCAAUAAACGAAAAAAAAAAAAAGGAAUGAAAAUGAUAACAGAAAUAACAAAGGAAUUCUUUCACUUUUAUUGCAUCUAGUGACCAUGAAUACAUGAAGAGAGCAUGUUACUUUCGAGACAAACAAUAAACUAUUUUCGUAUCCCCAAUGAAUCAUUUUAUCCAAUUCUUGAAAGUGGAAACCAGGCCAACUUCGCAAAGCACAUGCCUUGGUCAUAAAUGGAAGGCCCUGUCUCCGGCAAUUCAUUCCCUGACCUGCAUACUCUUGCAUUUUGCUCUUCUUCAACACUACGAUAUACCACCACCACCAGCUAUCUAAACUCAGGAUAUACAAACUCCGCGUCCCUAUCCGUACAAUGGCAGCACCAGCUUGUAAAGUUGGAAUAAAUUUCAAAGAAUGAUUAGUGUCACCACACUUCCGGCACAGGAAUCUUUUUCAAGAGGAACAAUCUUGCAAAUAUCUGAGGUGAUUAGAGAGUUGUUUGCAUUGGCAAUUCCUUUUUACACAAACAAUCUGGUAAAGGGUUCACAUAAAAGGGUUCUUCUGAACGAAACCUUUCUGUGCCCCUAGUUCCUGAAAUAGGACCUUUUCUCUUCCGCGGGGAGCCUUGCCUGUGUAACCACAUUGCAGGACCGUUAAUUAUACAAUAAAUUUGAGAAAACUAGAAGUCGUGGAUGUUUUGCAGUUACACAAUAGCCAGAAAUGAUAUAUGUUGGGCUAAAAGUGAUUCUCAUGGAACUUCAAAGCUUUUGGUGAGAAAUUGAGAAAUCACAUACCGUUUCCUGUGCAUUUCAAUAACUCUAUUUGAUAAAUUUUUGCCAUCCUUCAGAGUUCCAUGCUCAAGUUUGUCAAACAGGCGAACAAGUGCUUUCCUGAUGAACACACAAAAGCAUAAAAACAGAUUCAGUUUGCAGCAUUUUAUGACCAUAGAAUGGUAUCGGGAGCAAUUCAACUCUACAUAUAUCCAAAAAUGAAAUCGGCUUGCCUGUCAGGAGAUAUUGUUUUCCUGUGUCCAAGAAAGCGACGAUGGCCUUCAACUGCCCUCGCCAUGUUUCCGGAGUAUGAGGGUAUAAAUACAUCACUUUCAACUGAAACAAUGUAGUCAAGGGCAGCCAUUUG
Molecule: long non-coding RNA, 4829 nt
Filed under: Prunus persica (peach)
Lineage: Eukaryota; Viridiplantae; Streptophyta; Magnoliopsida; Rosales; Rosaceae
Description: long non-coding RNA (PPER_LNC001567)
Source: RNAcentral